This 400-nucleotide ribosomal RNA is filed under the name uncultured bacterium. RNAcentral describes it as "bacterial SSU rRNA". It matches the Rfam family "Bacterial small subunit ribosomal RNA", at positions 30 to 425 of the family's 1533-position model. The record is from RNAcentral.
AUUGAACGCUGGCGGUAUGCUUAACACAUGCAAGUCGAACGGUAACAUGGAGUGCUUGCACUCUGAUGACGAGUGGCGGACGGGUGAGUAACGCGUAGGAAUCUGCCUAGUAGUGGGGGACAACUUGGGGAAACCCAAGCUAAUACCGCAUACGCCCUACGGGGGAAAGCGGGGGCUCUUCGGACCUCGCGCUAUUAGAUGAGCCUGCGUUAGAUUAGCUAGUUGGUGGGGUAAAGGCCUACCAAGGCGACGAUCUAUAGCUGGUCUGAGAGGACGAUCAGCCACACUGGGACUGAGACACGGCCCAGACUCCUACGGGGAGGCAGCAGUGGGGAAUAUUGGACAAUGGGGGCAACCCUGAUCCAGCAAUACCGCGUGUGUGAAGAAGGCCUGCGGGUUG